RNAcentral lists this ribosomal RNA (301 nucleotides) under uncultured bacterium. RNAcentral's name for it is "partial 16S ribosomal RNA". It matches the Rfam family "Bacterial small subunit ribosomal RNA", at positions 509 to 807 of the family's 1533-position model. The record is from RNAcentral.
CAGCAGCCGCGGGAAUACAGAGGGUGCGAGCGUUAAUCGGAUUUACUGGGCGUAAAGCGUGCGUAGGCGGCUUCUUAAGUCGGACGUGAAAUCCCUGAGCUUAACUUAGGAAUUGCAUUCGAUACUGGGAAGCUAGAGUAUGGGAGAGGAUGGUAGAAUUCCAGGUGUAGCGGUGAAAUGCGUAGAGAUCUGGAGGAAUACCGAUGGCGAAGGCAGCCAUCUGGCCUAAUACUGACGCUGAGGUACGAAAGCAUGGGGAGCAAACAGGAUUAGAUACCCGAGUAGUCCCUGUCUCUUAUAC